Molecule: ribosomal RNA, 650 nt
Filed under: Microbacterium aurantiacum
Lineage: Bacteria; Bacillati; Actinomycetota; Actinomycetes; Micrococcales; Microbacteriaceae
Description: partial 16S ribosomal RNA
Rfam family: Bacterial small subunit ribosomal RNA
Source: RNAcentral
GAAACGGCGUCUAAUACUGGAUAUGAGCUCUCAUCGCAUGGUGGGGGUUGGAAAGAUUUUUCGGUCUGGGAUGGGCUCGCGGCCUAUCAGCUUGUUGGUGAGGUAAUGGCUCACCAAGGCGUCGACGGGUAGCCGGCCUGAGAGGGUGACCGGCCACACUGGGACUGAGACACGGCCCAGACUCCUACGGGAGGCAGCAGUGGGGAAUAUUGCACAAUGGGCGGAAGCCUGAUGCAGCAACGCCGCGUGAGGGAUGACGGCCUUCGGGUUGUAAACCUCUUUUAGCAGGGAAGAAGCGAGAGUGACGGUACCUGCAGAAAAAGCGCCGGCUAACUACGUGCCAGCAGCCGCGGUAAUACGUAGGGCGCAAGCGUUAUCCGGAAUUAUUGGGCGUAAAGAGCUCGUAGGCGGUUUGUCGCGUCUGCUGUGAAAUCCCGAGGCUCAACCUCGGGCCUGCAGUGGGUACGGGCAGACUAGAGUGCGGUAGGGGAGAUUGGAAUUCCUGGUGUAGCGGUGGAAUGCGCAGAUAUCAGGAGGAACACCGAUGGCGAAGGCAGAUCUCUGGGCCGUAACUGACGCUGAGGAGCGAAAGGGUGGGGAGCAAACAGGCUUAGAUACCCUGGUAGUCCACCCCGUAAACGUUGGGAACU